Molecule: signal recognition particle RNA, 298 nt
Filed under: Xenopus laevis (African clawed frog)
Lineage: Eukaryota; Metazoa; Chordata; Amphibia; Anura; Pipidae
Description: Metazoan signal recognition particle RNA
Rfam family: Metazoan signal recognition particle RNA
About the family: The signal recognition particle (SRP) is a universally conserved ribonucleoprotein. It is involved in the co-translational targeting of proteins to membranes. The eukaryotic SRP consists of a 300-nucleotide 7S RNA and six proteins: SRPs 72, 68, 54, 19, 14, and 9.
Source: Rfam by way of RNAcentral
GCCGGGCACAGUGGCGCGUGCCUGUAAUCCUGCUGUUUGGGAGGCUAAGGCUGAGGGAUUGCUUGAGUCCAGGAGUUCUAGUCUGCCCUGAGCCAUGUUGAUCGGGUGUCCACACUAAGUUCAGUUUCAAUAUGGUGAUCCUGGGGGAGCUUGGGAUCACCAGGUUGUCUAAAGAGGGGUGAACCGAUCCAGGUCGGAGACGGAGCAGGUCAAAGCCCCCAUGCUGAUCAGUAGUGGGAUAGCACCUGUGAAUGGUCAGUGCAGAACAGCCUGGGUGAUAAGUGAGACACAGCCUUUU